This 498-nucleotide ribosomal RNA is filed under the name uncultured bacterium. RNAcentral's name for it is "partial 16S ribosomal RNA". It matches the Rfam family "Bacterial small subunit ribosomal RNA", at positions 30 to 523 of the family's 1533-position model. The record is from RNAcentral.
AUUGAACGCUGGCGGCAUGCCUUACAUAUGCAAGUCGAACGGUAACAGGUCUUCGGAUGCUGACGAGUGGCGAACGGGUGAGUAAUACAUCGGAACGUGCCUAGUAGUGGGGGAUAACUACUCGAAAGAGUGGCUAAUACCGCAUGAGAUCUACGGAUGAAAGCAGGGGAUCGCAAGACCUUGUGCUACUAGAGCGGCCGAUGGCAGAUUAGGUAGUUGGUGGGAUAAAAGCUUACCAAGCCGACGAUCUGUAGCUGGGCUGAGAGGACGAUCAGCGAAGAUGGGACUGGGACCCGGCCCAUAAUCCUGCGGGGGGCAGAAGUGGGGAAUUUUGGACGAUGGGCGAAAGCCUUGUCCAGCAAUGGUGCGUGCAGGAUGAAGGCCUUGGGGUUGUAAACUGCUUUUGUACGGAACGAAAAGCCCCGGGUUAAUACCCUGGGGUCAUGACGGUACCGUAAGAAUAAGCACCGGCUAACUACGUGCCAGCCGCCGCAGUAA